UGAGUGGCGGACGGGUGAGGUAACGCGUGGGCAACCUGGCCUGUACAGGGGGAUAACACUUAGAAAUAGGUGCUAAUACCGCAUAACGGGGGAAGCCGCAUGGCUUUUCCCUGAAAACUCCGGUGGUACAGGAUGGGCCCGCGUCUGAUUAGCCAGUUGGCAGGGUAACGGCCUACCAAAGCGACGAUCAGUAGCCGGCCUGAGAGGGCGGACGGCCACACUGGGACUGAGACACGGCCCAGACUCCUACGGAAGGCAGCAG
Molecule: ribosomal RNA, 262 nt
Filed under: uncultured bacterium
Lineage: Bacteria
Description: partial 16S ribosomal RNA
Rfam family: Bacterial small subunit ribosomal RNA
Source: RNAcentral